GUUUUAAAACGUCUAAUGAGGAGCAGACAGAAAUUGUCAGCUUGCUCCCAAGCAGGUUAAAUUCAGCCUAUUUGAUCAUAAAGUUCUGAAACUGAAUUUAUGAACAGUCACUGAGCCAUGCAGCUAAUCAUGAGCUGCUGUUCAAGAAAAUGAAAGGAAAUUAAUGUCUGCACAGCACCGUGCAAAGAGGACCUUCUGAAGAAACUAGCAUCCUGGGCCAAGGCUAACUAAAGAGAUGGAGGAAAACAGCUUUAAGAAGAAGGCCUAAAACUCAACUUUCCCAAAGAAGCUUUCUGGGUCCAGUUCCAGAGUUAAACCCUGAUGCAACAGCAGAACAAGCCUGGUGUUCUUGGUAUGAAGCAGCUCCCCAUCUGUUUCCAUCAUCAGUGUCUCCUGGGCCUUGAAUUUCAUCCUUGAUACCUGACCCAGAAUUCAGAUCUCCACAUGAACCAAGAAGUUAGAAGCUGUUUUUUCUCAACGGGUUUCUCCUUCAUAGCCAAAGCACCCAAUGUACAAGAAAAUGAGGUCAGCCCUAAGAAGAAUGG
Long non-coding RNA from Choloepus didactylus (southern two-toed sloth), 545 nucleotides. RefSeq lists it as uncharacterized. The transcript is spliced from 4 exons. The record is from RefSeq and is a predicted model, not a curated record. Lineage: Eukaryota; Metazoa; Chordata; Mammalia; Pilosa; Megalonychidae.